Molecule: ribosomal RNA, 468 nt
Filed under: uncultured bacterium
Lineage: Bacteria
Description: partial 16S ribosomal RNA
Rfam family: Bacterial small subunit ribosomal RNA
Source: RNAcentral
GACGAACGCUGGCGGCGUGCUUAACACAUGCAAGUCGAACGGAAAGGCCCUGCUUUUGUGGGGUGCUCGAGUGGCGAACGGGUGAGUAACACGUGAGUAACCUGCCCUUGACUUUGGGAUAACUUCAGGAAACUGGGGCUAAUACCGGAUAGGAGCUCCUGCUGCAUGGUGGGGGUUGGAAAGUCUCGGCGGUUGGGGCUGGACUCGCGGCUUAUCAGCUUGUUGGUGGGGUAGUGGCUUACCAAGGCUUUGACGGGUAGCCGGCCUGAGAGGGUGACCGGCGACAUUGGGACUGAGAUACGGCCCAGACUGCUACGGGAGGCAGCAGUGGGGAAUAUUGCACAAUGGGCGGAAGCCUGAUGCAGCAACGCCGCGUGCGGGAUGACGGCCUUCGGGUUGUAAACCGCUUUCGCCUGUGACGAAGCGUGAGUGACGGUAAUGGGUAAAGAAGCACCGGCUAACUACGUG